GGGCGCAAGCCUGAUCCAGCCAUGCCGCGUGUGUGAAGAAGGCCUUAUGGUUGUAAAGCACUUUAAGCGAGGAGGAGGCUACUUUAGUUAAUACCUAGAGAUAGUGGACGUUACUCGCAGAAUAAGCACCGGCUAACUCUGUGCCAGCAGCCGCGGUAAUACAGAGGGUGCAAGCGUUAAUCGGAUUUACUUGGGCGUAAAGCGCGCGUAGGCCGGGCUAAUUAAGUCAAAUGUGAAAUCCCCGAGCUUAACUUGGGAAUUGCAUUCGAUACUGGUUAGCUAGAGUGUGGGAGAGGAUGGUAGAAUUCCAGGUGUAGCCGGUGAAAUGCGUAAGAGAUCUGGAGGAAUACCCGAUGGCGAAGGCAGCCAUCUGGCCUAACACUGACGCUGAGGUGCGAAAGCAUGGGGAGCAAACAGGAUUAAGAUACCCUGGUAGUCCAUGCCGUAAACGAUGUCUACUAGCCGUUGGGGCCUUUGAGGCUUUAGUGGCGCAGCUAACGCGAUAAGUAGACCGCCUGGGGAGUACGGUCGCAAGACUAAAACUCAAAUGAAUUGACGGGGGCCCGCACAAGCGGUGGAGCAUGUGGUUUAAUUCGAUGCAACGCGAAGAACCUUACCUGGCCUUGACAUAGUAAGAACUUUCCAGAGAUGGAUUUGGUGCCUUCGGGAACUUACAUACAGGUGCUGCAUGGCU
This 694-nucleotide ribosomal RNA is filed under the name Acinetobacter calcoaceticus. RNAcentral's name for it is "bacterial SSU rRNA". It matches the Rfam family "Bacterial small subunit ribosomal RNA", at positions 373 to 1050 of the family's 1533-position model. Lineage: Bacteria; Pseudomonadati; Pseudomonadota; Gammaproteobacteria; Moraxellales; Moraxellaceae. The record is from RNAcentral.